GAGACUGCCAGUGAUAAACUGGAGGAAGGUGGGGAUGACGUCAAUCAUCAUGCCCUUAUGACCUGGGCUACACACGUGCUACAAUGGCCGGUACAAAGAGUUGCGAAACUGUGAAGUUAAGCUAAUCUCAUAAAGCCGGUCUCAGUUCGGAUUGUAGUCUGCAACUCGACUACAUGAAGUCGGAAUCGCUAGUAAUCGCGAAUCAGAAUGUCGCGGUGAAUACGUUCUCGAGUCUU
This 236-nucleotide ribosomal RNA is filed under the name uncultured Syntrophus sp. RNAcentral describes it as "partial 16S ribosomal RNA". It matches the Rfam family "Bacterial small subunit ribosomal RNA", at positions 1145 to 1382 of the family's 1533-position model. The record is from RNAcentral. Lineage: Bacteria; Pseudomonadati; Thermodesulfobacteriota; Syntrophia; Syntrophales; Syntrophaceae.